Molecule: long non-coding RNA, 1749 nt
Organism: Drosophila persimilis
Lineage: Eukaryota; Metazoa; Arthropoda; Insecta; Diptera; Drosophilidae
Exons: 6
Source: RefSeq, a predicted model, not a curated record
UGUUAUACCCGACCUGCAUUCGAAAGAAUCAUUUGUGCUGUUCUCAGGAGCCAACGACUCUAUCCGCCAGUUGGUUGAAAUAGUUGUUUAAGCCUAGUUUUUUAAACGCCGUGCAAUCGUUUACCUUCGAGAAGAGCCGGAAGCAUCAGAGGCAGUCCUCCAUGGAUCGAACUGACUUUUGUAACGAUGUCAUAGAGCAGACCCUCAGUUGAAGCGGGAGCUUCAACGAUUAUGCCUGUGAUAUCGCUUUCGCCGGACCAAUGCCUCAGAAGAUUGGUCUUGUUGUUCCCAUCACAUGCUAGAGGCCAUCCGGUGGUGAAUCGAUUAUGAAUGGGAGAAGAUCGGCCAUAAUUAUAAGAGUAGGAAAAACUCUAUGGAAACGGAAAUAUUUGCACGGAACAGAGGAACGCGGCCGCCACCAAAGACCUCCACCCAGAGGCCCUCGAUAUCAACAGAUGACUGUGACUGAACUUAAAGAACGGCGCACAAAUAGGUUUGGUCGUAUGCUCAGGUCUAGCUCGCCGGAUGGUCGGGGUUCUUCCUCACCUAAUUGUACUAUCGUACUCCUCUACAUUUAUAUAGUGGACUUUAUGGAAAACUGUAAUUGAUUAUACAAAACAAAGUACACUGAAAUGCUGAUGGCGCCGACACGAGAAAUGAAAAGCCCUACUGAACUCGUUCUAUUUGGAGGGGACCUAGAUGUUGAUUGUCCCUCUCUUCUGUACCCACCCUACCAUGACAAUGACUUCGAGUUCCUGCAUUGUCCCUUGAUCCUGGCUCGGAUACGCGACCGACCAUUUUUAUGAUUUCAAAGAUUCAUUUCAAUUCACAUUGAUUCAUUAAUAUAAGCUUAUAUAUGGGGAAAUAUGUGUAUAUGGUGCCGAAUAGCACUAUAUUAAUUAAGGAAUUAAGGAUCUUUUCGUUUUCCUUACUCUCAUAACUAUUGCGAAUCUCCUCCCGUAAUCGAUUCGCAACUGGAUGGCCUCCAACAUGGUGAUAGGACUAACACGGUCCUUCUUCUCAGGCAUUUACCCGGCAAAGGCGAUUUCAAAGUCAUAUUCGUUAAAGUUCUCGCUCCAAAUGAGGGUCUGCGCUACUUUACAACAGUUCACUUUGCCGUGGCAUCGAAGAACACUGCAUUCAGAUUCGAUAGAAGCCGAUUCGAAUGGGAAUGUCAAUGCAUUCGAGUCAAAUUUCGUUAAUGACAGCAUCCGCAUGACCGUAUAUUCGGGCACAACGGAUCCGAAGCUAUAGCCAUUCACUACUGAGGGAGCAGCAGCAGCAGCUGCCGUGCGGUUUCCGUUUGGCAUGAUGCCUGCCCCAGGAUGACAGCUACGACACCGCACACAGAACCGGAUAGGGAUACAGAUGCGGAUAAACGAUUUGGCCUUUGUCGCGUUGGAAUUGCAGCACUUUUCUAAUGAACAACGGAUACGGGCUUCGGACCUCCUUUCGCGAUUAUCGCAGAUUUCUUCGGAUGCCUGCGGGUUGGAUCUGCCUUACAGCACCUGGAGUUGAGGCUGUGAAUUCUUUGGGCGUAGUUUGUCCCUCCGUUAGCUGCAUGAAGACCAAAUCUUGAUUUUCCUCUUUUGCUGGAAAGUCCGUCAGUACGGUGAUGCCUAUUUUAUUGUUUGAAAUUGGCUAUACUUUUACUCGACCCGGGUACCCUUGUAGAGCUGUAUCAUUUUGAUGUCGGGCGUCUAGUCGUAGCCCAUGUGGCGGCGGCCUCCUUGGAAAAUAAAUUUCAAA